Molecule: long non-coding RNA, 15030 nt
Organism: Balaenoptera acutorostrata (minke whale)
Lineage: Eukaryota; Metazoa; Chordata; Mammalia; Artiodactyla; Balaenopteridae
Exons: 3
Source: RefSeq, a predicted model, not a curated record
GAGGCAUGUGGCAUUAAACACAGCUGCCUUUGAGGGCCUGUGGGUAGGAGGCAAACGCCAUUAAUAUUUUUAGUACUGUUUCUUCUUUCCUCUUUCCAAAACCUAAUCUCCUUGAAGUUCAUACUACCAUAUUUUUCAACCUGCCACCCCUCCUUUUUCUCAUGAACUGACCUCCACCUCACCUCCUGCACCUUACUUUAUGACUUGAGCAUCCGUAAGCAUAAUCCAUGAGAUAUCUUAUUUUUUUCUUUAUUUUUAAUUGAAGUAUAGUUGAUUUACAAUGUUGUGUUAGUUUCUGGUGUACAGCAAAGUGAUUUAGUUAUACACAUAGGUAUUCUUUUUCAUUAGAUUUUAUUACAAGAUACUGAAUGUAGUUCCCUGUGCUAUACAGUAGGACCUUGUUGUUUAUUUUAUAUAUAGUAGUUUGUAUCUGCUAAUCCCAAACUCCUAGUUUAUCUCUCCACCCCUUUCCCUUUUGGUAACCAUGAGUUUGUUUUCUCUGUGAGUCUGUUUCUAUUGUAAAUAAGUUCAUUUGUAUCAUAUUUCAGAUUCCACAUACAAGUGAUAUUAUAUGGCAUUUGUCUUCCUCUAUCUGACUUACUUCACUUAGUAGGAUAAUCUCUAGGUCCAUCCAUAUUGCUGCUGCAAAUGACAUUAUUUUGUUCUUUUUUUUUUGGCCGUGCCACACAGCAUGCAAGAUCUUAGUUCCCUGACCAGGGAUCGAACCCGAGCCCCCUGCAGUGGAAGUGCAGAGUCUUAACCACUGGACUGCCAGGGAAGUCCCUUGUUUUUUUUGGUGGCUGAAUAAUAUUCCAGUGUGUGUGUGUGUGUGUGUGUGUGUGUGUGUGUGUGUGUGUACCAGAUCUUCUUUAUCCAUUCAUCUGUUGAUGGACAUUUAUGUUGCUUCCAUGUCUUGGCUUUUGUGAAUAGUGCUGCUACGAACAUUGGGGUGCGUGUAUCUUUUCAAAUUACAGUUUUCUCUGGAUAUAUGCCCAGGAGUGGGAUUGCUGGAUCAUGUGGUAAUUCUAGUUUUAGUUUUUGAAGGAACCUCCAUACUUUUUUCCAUAAUGGCUGCACCAAUUUACAUUACCACCAACAGUGUAGGAGGGUUCCCUUUCAUGAGAAAUCUUAUUGACUUCUCACUGAUUUCUUCCCCACCAUUGAGCCCCCCCGCCCCCAAAUACCCACUCCCAUGGUCUUAAAGCAGACUUAUUCUCACCAGGAAUUGCACUAUCUCAGAAAACACAAUCACAGAAUCUCAAAUCUGACUUUAACAUCUUUACUGCAGUAUCACACACAAGCAUUUCUUCAACCUCAUCCAGACCUGCAAAUCUUUUGACUCUGCCAGAUUUUUGCAUUUAUUUUCCCACUGGUGCUCACUUCCCUCCUCACCCACUCAGUCAUAAUCAAUAUACUCACUUCCUUGCAAAACCCCAUAACCCCUUUGCCCCUCUCUUUUCUUCUAGCUUGCCCAGCUCUAGUUAAACCUAGCUCUUCCCCUACUCUUUACCUGUCUCAGAAUAUCUGAAUAUUGCUGGAAAAUUAAAACUGGCAGAUGUCACUUUAAGUUGAUGUCCAUGAAUUUCAACUGAACCCUCAGUCCUGCCUAGCCUUCCUACUGUAUUUUCCUGCUGUAUUCAAUUCCCCACACUCUACAAGGAUGAUUUUUCAAUCGUCUUCCUUUGUCCCCUUCUCAUCCUUCACUCUAAGCAGAUGAGCUUGCCUCAUGCUUCACAGACAUGAUAGAGUCAGACAGGAACCCUCUCCUCUACCAAAAAUUCUGCAUCUUGCCCAGGUUUUCUGCCUUCCCUGCUUGCUUUUUUUAAUUGAAGUAUCGUUGGUUUACAAUAUUGUGUUAGUUUCAGAUGUACAGCAAAGUGAUUCACUUAUAUGUAUAUAUAUAUGCCUUUUUUUCAAUUCUUUUCCAUUAUAGGUUAUGAUAAGAUACUGAAUAUAGUUCCCUGUGCUUUUUUAAAAAUUUAUUUUAUUUACGUAUAGGUGAUUUUCAAUGUUGUGUUAAUUUCUGCUGUACAGCAAAGUGACUUCAUUGUACAUACAUAUACAUUCUUUUCCAUUAUGGUUCAUCACAGGCUAUUGAAUAUACUUCUAGUUCCUUACUCUGGAUUCCCUUCCUUAGUCACUCAUUUCUACCCCAUCCUGGAUCAUUCCCACCUGCUUUAAAAAAUGUCCCAAUAUUCUAAAAAAAUGUUUUUAACAACAAAAAUCUCUUUGAUCCCACAUCUCCCUCCAGCCACCUCCCCCAUUUAUUUGCUCCCCUUAGCAUCAAAACCUUGUGUGAGUUCUCUGCAGUGGCUGUUUCCACAUCAGCUCUGGUUUCUCCUUAAAUCAGUCUGGCUCGAGUUUCUGCCUCCACCUGUCGAUUUGGAAACUCCAUGUUGCAGAAGCCACUUCAGGGCCUUGUCUUACUGCUGACCUCUUGGUAUUAUUAUUUUUUUUAAUAUUUAUUUGGCUGUGCCAGGUCUUAGUUGUGGCACGUGGGACCUUCAUUGCCGUGUGCGGGAUCUUUAGUUGCGGCAUGCAGGAUCUUAGUUAGACGACCAGGUAUCGAACCCGGGCCCCCUGCACUGGGAGCGCGGAGUCUUAGCCACUGGACCACCAGGUAAGUCCCUGACCUCUUGACAUUAUUACAGUUGGCCGCUCUCCUCCUUGUUACACCUCUCUUGGGACUCAGGGUUCCUCUGAGUUCCCUUUGAUGCCUCCGCUUCCUUUGCUGAGGACUCAGUUCUGGGGUCCCUUCUUUUCUGUAUCUAAAUGCUCUUUUAGUCACUGUGGGUCUUCAGCACCUGGAACAUAAUAGGUGUUCAGUGAAGGUCUGUGAAAUAAGAUAAUAGCAUCCGCAUCAUAGGAUUAUUGCGUGAAAAGUGGACCAAGAAUGAAUAAUAAAGUAGUGGCAACUUUAAAUUGAGUGCUUACUAUGUGCUAAGCUCUUUUCUUGUAUUAUCUCACCGAGUCUUCCCAACAGUCCUUUGCACUAGGAAUUCCUAUUAUUACCAUUCUUUAGAAGAGGAAGUUGAAGCUUAGACAAAUGACUUGCCUAAGUUCACACAGAUAAUAAGUGGACAGGGAAUUCCCUGGCGGUCCAGUGGUUAGGACUCGGUGCUUUCACUGCCGAGGGCGCGGGUUCAAUCCCUGGUCAGGGAACUAAGAUCCUGCAAGCUUCAUGGCUCAGCCAAAAAAAUAAAAAUAAAAACCUUUAAAAAAAAAUACGUGGAUGAACCCAUCCUCACUUUGGUCUUUCUGACUCAAAGUCAAUUCUCAGAAUCACUAAAUUGAGAUCAUAUGCAGGAAAGUGCUUUGUAAACAGCAAAAGACGAUGUUACUACAGUACAUAGCAGCACACAGCAUGGCAACUUGCACAUAGUAGGUGCCCAUGAGUGUUUGCUGAGGCAGGGUGGGAGGAAGUCCCGCACCAAAUAGUACCAUCACCCGAGGAAGGAAGAAGCAAUCUUGAGGACCUCGGAGACUCAAGUCAACCUUCCACCAUACGCUGAAUCUUUUGUGAUGCUCAUCAGCUAAUUAUAAGACGCGUAAAGUGGGCAUUACCCAGACAUUUGCCCAACAUGGUUUCUAUCUUUCCUCCUUCAAUUAAGUCUCCACAGCUGGAACUGUUGGGUUAAUAAAAGCACAAUCAUUCCAGGGGUCUGGGGCUUGUUUAGCUCCUAAAUCACCUCUGAUUUUAACAGGCCAGAGCGUGCUCCCUGAGGUAGGGAUCUUCUCAGAUUACUAACAGUGGUUUUAGAUGUUUUACUGUGUGUCUGGAGAUAAGAACCCUAGAAUUAGCCAACUUUUGACCCCUCACUACAUUGAAUUCUACAGACAAGGGGUUUAAACCAUAUCUGUUUUUAAAAAUUUUAUUGAAGUAUAGUUGAUUUACUUUUUUUCUUUUUUAAAUUUUAUUGACCAUAUUCCUUGAACAUUCUACCUCCAUAUACUAAAGUUCUAGUGGGAUUCAAUGUAAGGAUCUUCAUUAGGAAGAGUACCAGGAGGGAAGAUACGUCACCUGGUAAUUCCAUCUUCCCCAUCUUCAGCCGGGUUAGUGGUCUUUUCUACAACUUAACCCUUCCUCAUUCUCAGAUGUUUAGUUUGCGUGGAGUUGAGCCCACCCCCAGCUCCUGAGGACAGGAUCCUGAUUGACUGAAGCCAAAGUGUGGCCUUGGUUUGAGGAUAGGCCCUUGACCUAAUUUGGGCCACAGUGCUCCCUGUAGAACACUAAUUAAACUCUGCCUAAAGGGGGAUGGUCCAUCAGGUAAAUGUGGGAAAUGCAGUAAACAAUAUUCCUACUCGGGGAUUCUGUUUUUUUCAGGAACCUCAAUUAUCCCAUCUCUCCCCAGAUUGUUGAAUUACUCCCUCUCAACUAGAUGAUUACUGUGGUUUUAAACAUGCAUAAGUGUCUCAUAUGUUAAAAAAAAAAAAAGGAAGAAAGAGAAAGAAGGAAAAAGCCUACAUGGAUCCCUCUAGCCCACCACCCUAUCUCCUGUCUUUCUCAGCUACAGAAUUGUCAGUAUUUCCUCUCUCCACUUCUACUCCCCCUUCUAUUCCAUCCCUCCUCCACAGAAAUGACCCUCAGGUCACCCCUACCUCCAUGUCGAAAAGCGCAUGGACGUUUUUCAAUCGUCAGCUCCUUUGACUCCCCAGGAGUACUUGACACUAUUGGUCACUUCUUCCUCCUUAAAGCACUCUGGUCCACGGGCUUCCAUGACAUCGCGUGACUCUCCUGGUCUCAGUCCUACCUCUCUGACUGCUCCUUCUCCGUUCUUUGCAGACUUAUCCUCUUCUACGCAACCCCUAAAUGAUGGGGUUCUCUCCUCCUCUGACUUUGCGGCUUCUCCUUAGACAAUUUCAUCCACGCUCAUGGCCUCAGUUACCAGCAGGCCUCAGUCACGUCCCCACUCCUGGAGCUGGCAGGGAUGGGGACCCCGUAAUGGGGGAGGGGAGCUGUUUCCCACGUAAUGGGGAGGGGAAGCAGGGUACUAUUCACAAAAGAAGGAGAAAGAGAGGCUGAAGAGCAGAAAAAAAACAGAUGGUUACUACAAGCAUGCAUUCUGGGUAAGCUCAUGCAAAUUAUCAAAACAGGCUCCUUUUGGGUCUCAGAAAUUUCUCAUCAUUGGAACCCUAAGCAGGACUGAGUACAGGCCCCCAAAAUGGUGAUUUCCUCUGUAGACAGAACACUGUGUGGUUUGCAAAGGAGGCAGCCUCGGCUAGACCACUAAGAUCAACUUUUCCCACCCGCAGCAUCCUGAAAGAACACGUAGCAAGAAGGUGGAGGGAGACAGACCACUAGCACUCCACUUCUUUUAAACACACCCCAUAGAGACACAUAUGUAGAGAACAAACGUAAGGACACCAAGGGGGGAAAGUGGCAGGGCGGUGGUGUGAUGAAUUGGGAGAUUGGGAUUGACAUAUAUACACUAAUAUGUAUAAAAUGGAUAACUAAUAAGAACCUGCUAUAUAAAAUAAAUAAAUAAAAUUCUAAAAUUCAAAAAACAAACAAAAACACACCCCAAAGUCAUCAGUGCCAAGGGGAUGCUUUGUCUCAGGUUAGACAUCAUCCUCUCAGGGCUUUUGUUUUUGCUUUUUUUUUUUUUUUUUUAAUUAAUUAAUUUAUUUUUAGUUUGGGCUGCAUUGGGUCUUCGUUGCUGCGCACAGGCUUUCUCUAGUUGCGGCGAGCGGGGGCUACUCUUCGUUGCAGCGCACGGGCUUCUCAUUUCGGUGGCUUCUCAUGUUGCGGAGCAGGGGCUCUAGGCGCGUGGGCUUCAGUCGUUGUGGCUCGCAGGCUCUAGAACGCAGGCUCAGUAGUUGUGGCACGUGGGCUUAGUUGCUCCGUGGCACGUGGGAUCUUCCCGGACCAAGGUUCGAAUCCCUGUCCCUUGCAUUGGCAGGCGGAUUCUUAACCACUGUGCCACCAGGGAAGUCCUGUUUUUGCUUUUCUAAUAGGUACCUGGGAGAACUCACAGCUGCCUUCUGCUGGACUAGAAGUAUUUGUAUCCUGACCAUCUGCGAGGUCUUGCUCAGAGUUAGAGAACAGCUUCUCAAAUGUGGGCCAGCUGUUGGAGCUUUAAUAUGCAUAUUUGGGAGAAGUCAUAUUUAGUUUAUUAUGCCGGCUGACCAGCUGCCCGCUAGGCUUGGGAUGACCUCUACAAUGCAUCUAAGGCUAACCCUUCAGACUCAGAAGAAUGGUCACCUCCUUCUUCAUGCCGUAUUUUCUGCCUGUCCCCUCAAAAGCUGAGUUUGGGGCUUCUUUCUUUGUGUUUCCGUGGAAAUGCUGUACUAGGUACACCUUUUCACUUGUAAUUUGCCCCUACGGUUCUCUGGGCUCCUUGAGGCAGGGACCAUGAGUCACAUCACAAACAAUUAGGACAGAGCUGGAAUAUGGUGCCCUAUGAAUGAAGCCCAUUGUUCUCUGCAUCUGUGUCUCUAUUUCUGCCCUGCAAACCGGUUCAUCUGUACCAUUUUUCUAGGUUCCACAUAUAUGCGUUAAUAUACGAUAUUUGUUUUUCUCUUUCUGACUUAACUUCACUCUGUAUGACAGUCUCUAGAUCCAUCCACGUCUCUACAAAUGACCCAAUUUCGUUCCUUUUUAUGGCUGAGUAAUAUUCCAUUGUAUAUAUGUACCACAUCUUCUUUAUCCAUUCGUCUGUCGAUGGGCAUUUAGGUUGCUUCCAUGUCCUGGCUAUUGUAAAUAGUGCUGCAAUGAACAUUGUGGUACAUGACUCUUUUUAAAUUAUGGUUUUCUCUGGGUAUAUGCCCAGUAGUGGGAUUGCUGGGUCAUAUGGUAAUUCUAUUUUUAGCUUUUUAAGGAACCUCCGUACUGUUCUCCAUAGUGGCUGUUACAAUUUACACUCCCACCAACAGUGUAGGAGGGUUCCCUUUUCUCCACACCCUCUCCAGCAUUUACUGUUUGUAGGUUUUUUAAUGAUGGCCAUUCUGACCUGUGUGAGGUGAUACCUCAUUGUAGUUUUGAUUGACGUUUCUCUAAUUAGUGAUGUUGAGCAUCUUUUCAUGUGCUUUUUGGCCAUCUGUAUGUCUUCUUUGGAGAAAUAUCUAUUUAGAUCUUCUGCCCAUUUCUUGAUUGGGUUAUUUUUUUUUUGAUAUUGAGCUGCAUGAGAAGUUUGUAUAUUUUGGAGAUUAAUCUCUUGUCGGUUGCUUAAUUUGAAAAUAUUUUUUCCCAUUCUGAGGGUUGUUUUUUUGUUUUGUUUAUGGUUUCCUUUACUGUGCAAAAGUUUUGAGUUUAAUUGGAUCCCAUUUGUUUAUUUUUGUUUUUAUUUUCAUUCAGCUUUAUUUUUUGUUCAAGUGAACCAUUGGAGUGCAGAGCAUACGAGGACCUUGUUGAGGCUGUUAACGCCUCGGACCAGGCUAGACAUGGUGACCUAUUUAUCUAGGGCAAUCAAUGCCACUGUAGUCAGAAAGACUCCAUAUUUGGGCCAGAAAGGAAAGCAAAGGCCAAAGGCAGAGGAGUGAUGGCAAGUAUUCAGUCUGGUAGGUAAAGUGACUAAGUGGAGAAAAUGAACCACCAAGUCUAAAGGUAGGCACACUGAGAGCCAAAUGCACAGGGGAAAAGUGCAGGGCAUGGUGGGACGGGUGGUUCAGCACAGAGCAAUGCCAGUCGUGAUGGGACCCAUUUCUAAUAUUCAUCGUGCUACCUUCUUUAUAGCUUAAAACUGCCAGAUAGGAUCAGACAUACUUGGCCUAAGAUCCUGUAAGAUCUGGCCCAGUUUAAAACCUGUAUGAGAAAACUCUGAUAACCAAAGAUAUCUCUCUGUCAGGCAGCAUUGCCUGGACAACUGGCAUGGCAGUUCUGUUAGGCUUUAUCUUGAUGGCCUUUUGUUCUCUGCCCCACACUACUCGUGAUUGUUACAGGUAUGUAGCACUGCCAAGCUACAGGGUCACCUUUUCCAUUUCCUCUUCCUGGGCUCAAGCACUGUCUACAUUUCCUAGCCUCCCUUGAGUUAGGUUGUGGUCAUGUGAUGGUGCUGUGACGAAUGGAAUGUGGGAGGAAGUGAAAUGGGCCACCUCCAGGUAUGACCAUCAAAUGCCCCUUGGGACCUACCCCGUACUCUCCCUCUCUCUCUGUUCAUCAGCCAGCCGAAUGCAGAGGCUCCAAGUUGGAGGAAGCCUGUAUUCUGUUCAGGAGAGUCUACUGAAAACAUCCAGUCAGACUGUAUCUUAGGGGGAAAAUAAACCUUUGCUGUAAGCCACUAAGCACUGAAGGUUGUUUCAGCAGCUAGCACUCCCCUGACUAAUACAGGUCUAAAAAGCUACCCACGAUAGCUUCCAACAUAGCAGGAAAUGAUUGGGAUGAUAAUAUUGAAGCAGGAUUUCCAUGAAUGUGUUAAGGUUCCACAGGUACCUCAAGGUGGAGCCAGUGAAGAUGGACAAAGGUCACAUCACUACAGAAAGGUGAGCCAGGAUUUGACUGGAGUUUUGUCUGAUCCAAAAAGCCUAUCCUUUUUUUCACUUCUCCACAUUACCCCAAACAAGGAGGUGUUUAGAUGUUUUGAGUGAUGAUCAUAAUGAUGACAGACUCUAGGAUUCUGUGUAAUUUACUCCCUGGCAUAUUUGUGCUACAUACUCCUGCAGCACGUCUACCGCUUCCCACAAGCCAGUGAGGUUGGAUACAAUGACAUCCUGUAAUCUUCAUUUUUAUAUUGACAUCGUGCCCAGGUACUCAGAGGAGGGUAGCUAAAAUUAUUAUUUUCUCCAGCCUGCAACCUAAAUGUUUACCAGUCUGGUAGAAGCCUUUGGGGACCAUGCCAUAGAGGUAUGUAGGUCUUCCUUCUCCUUGUACUCCUUCCUUCCUGUCCCACCCAUUCCAGUCAUAAGCUGGGCUCCACGCCUCUUCUAGCUGAAUAAUUGCAUCUUCUAUCUCUCUGCAAUGGUGAGAGAGCAGGUGACUGAACCUCCAUAUUCUAGUUUCCACAUCUGUAAAAUGGGUGUAUGAUACCUACCGUGUACAAUUGUCAUGAGGUUUAAAUAAGACAGGCAGUAAAUUGGUGGCAUAUCAUGUGCUCUUUGAGUUUAUGGAUGGUCCCCUCCCCUGCCCCCAACAAUCCUCACUGCUGUUACGGAACAUCAGACGGUUCUUGGUAUUUCGUAAAUACAUUUGCCGGUCUUACUACAUUGUGUGUGUGUUUUAUGCCUGGUUAUGUCAGCCUUGUAUAUUUUUGACCUUAAACUCUAAAUAGGCAGAAAACCCAUGGUUGCUAAAUAUUUAUCGGUCCCAGGUACCAUACAAUUCAUUCAUUAUCUUCAACCACAAUAAGAGAUCAUUGAGCACUUUCUAUCUUAUGAGCUUUAUGUAAGGAGGCUCCUGGAAUAAGAGUCUGUUUCUGCCCACAAAAUCCAUCAGAGGUGAUUUUAAAUAUGUAAAUAUGUAAAUAUUUAUUUAUUUAUUUGGCUGCGCCGGGUCUUAGUUGCAGCACGCGGGAUCUUCAUUGCUGCGUGCAGGAUCUAGUUCCCUGACCAGGGAUGGAAGCCAGGCCCCCUGCAUUGGGAGUGCAGAGUCUUAACCACUGGAGCACCAGGGAAGUCCCCAGAGGUGAUUUUAAAGGCACAGUGGCUUAUUCUUCUUCAAAAUAGCUUUUUAAACCUCUGACUACGGAAAUACAUGCUCAUUGUAAAAAUUAUAGAUACAACACCAAAACCAGAAAAUUAUCCAAGGAAUAAUCACUGCCAUCUUUUUAGAACCUAUCCUUCUAAUCUUUUUCCUUUCCAUAUACAUACAUGUUUUACAAAAAUGGGAUCAUACUGCAUGCACAUUCUUGUUACCUGUCUUUUCUUACCUGAGAACAUAUCAUGAAUGUUUUACAUGUAUUAAAGAUUCUCCUGUGGCACAAUUUAUAAUUCUAGUUUAGUAUCCAUCGUAUGGAUAGAUGGUGAUUUUUUUAAAGCAAUCCCUUUGUAUUGUACAGUUUGGUUAUUUCCAUUCUUCCACCAUUAUUAGCAACAAACGUCUUCAUAUGUAUUCCUCUGCUCACAUCCCUAAUUAUUUUCUUAGAACCCACAAGUAGAAGUUUGCUUCACAGAAAGAGCACACUAUCCAGGCUUUUCCUAACCAUUGCCAAGUUUUCUAUUAGAAAAGUCCUACAGGGGCUUCCCUGGUGGCGCAGUGGUCGAGAAUCUGCCUGCUAAUGCAGGGGACACGGGUUCGCGCCCUGGUCUGGGAGGAUCCCACAUGCCGCGGAGCAACUAGGCCCGUGAGCCACAACUACUGAGCCUGCGCGUCUGGAGCCUGUGCUCCGCAACAAGAGAGGCCACAAUAGUGAGAGGCCCGCGCACCGCGAUGAAGAGUAGCCCCCGCUUGCCGCAACUACAGGAAGCCCUAGCACAGAAACGAAGACCCAACAUAGCAAUCAAUCAAUCAAUAAAUAAAUUAAAAAAAAAAAAAAAAAAGAAAAGUCCUACAAAUUCACACUCCCACCAGCAAUGUAUGAGAAUGCUACAAUAAAGGCUGUUGGCCAAGAUGAUGGUUAUGAAAAAAAUAAUCAAGAAGAUAAGUAUUUGCUAAAGGCUCUCCCCACGCCGGCUGUGUUUAUUUGUUGAACUCUAUAGCCAUGUUCCUUGGACCAAACACUGAAGGUUCUUUAGACUUUUAGUUUAUUUAGUGCCUCUUUCAAUACUCUGAAACUUUGACCCAAGUUUUAUCUGAAGAAAAGGAGAUUUCUGGUAAAUAUGGUUUCCAGUUUGGAAACUCAGCCCAAAUACUUCCAUCCCUCAUCUCAGCAUGGACCACCUCUGUGGUUUUAACUGCUGGGAAUCAGUUAGAAAGUGCUGCUGCUGACUUGGAGCUGAGAAAAGUGCUUAAAAGAAAUGAAAGAGCUGGUCUAGGGUGAAAAAGUCAUGUUCCAAGGUACAAAGGAAAACCAAUAACAACCCAAGGGUUUGGAGUUUCAUUUGACCUGCUCUGAUAAUAUCACUAUGGUGAUGGUCUCCAUAAACAGUUGCAAAAUAGCAAGAUGAAAAAGAACGAGCAAGUUCCACCCAGGCGAUCUGGAGUUAUUUUAGGGAUCAAGGCAAUGUCAUCUGGGGUAAAUAUGGAAUGCAAGGUCUGUUCUUUUAAUAAUCAUCCCCUUCUUUUGUGAGGCUGAACAAAAGCCUGGCACGUCAGACGUUUGGGCUGAAAGCAGCACUGACCUAGUGUCUUCGGGGCUCAGGAGAAAGCACAGCCAAAGGAAUGGAAAUAAUGGUUCAUAACACAUGCUGGGAUGAUUCUUCUCACACCCUUGGCCUCUGAGACUGCUGAGCCUGAUGUAGAGUCCAAGGGUGGAACAAGGGUGAUGUUCUCGGGAAGGGCUGGCCUGGUUGAGAGGCUGGGAUGGGGACCCCAGGGAACUGAGCUUGGUUGUCUGCCCCUGACCUUGAUUCCUGGGCCAGAGGGGGUGGAGGGAAGCAUCUUCAAGACCACAAAUCUGUCUCUGGGGCAUUACCAUCUGCUGCAGAUGACAACUGCCACUCCCAUCCUCAUGCUCUUCUCUUUGAACCCCUGACUCAGCCAGCCUCAGUCCGAAAAGCAGAACUAGCUAUUUUUUGAACUAAAACAAAAAAAAAAGUCAGGCAAUACAGUUGCUGAACUCCUUCCUGACCCUGAAACUCUUACUCUUUGCACUUAACCCCUUGCUCUCCCCUUAUUCUUUUCGCUUCCUUCUCUUCCAGACUCCUAGAUUGCAAGCUCCACCAUCAUCUCUAGCGAAGAUCUUCAAAGGAAAGGGUUGUUCUGCGGCCACGGAGGCUGGAACAAUGCCUGGCACACAGAAGGUUCUCCAUAAGUGUCAGCUGAUAGGAACUGAAUCCAAAACCCCGUGCCUACCCUGCCGUGGACAUUUCUCCAGCAGAACUUAUCAUCACAGGGCAUAUUAUACACUUGUUUGUUUGUUUGGCUGUGACACGCGGCAUGCGGGAUCUUAGUUCCCCGACCAGGGAUCGAACCGGUGCCCCCUGCAGUGGAAGCGCGGGACCCUAACCACUGGACUACCAGCUCAGGGUCUGGAGUGUCCACACCCCGCAGGGGCUUCUCUGAGAGGCCAGCUGGCUGACAGCCUCGGCAGAGAAACACCUCUUCAGGCCCACGGCAUCUCCACAGCAGCCUUGGGAAAGAUGCUGAUGAGUUCUUCCACCAACCAGGGGAAAGCCACGCUUAUAAAAGCUUCCAGGCCUCAGCGAUAAUUUCUCCCCUUUCCACACCCCUCCCCGCUCCUCUGGGCCCUUUCCCAUCUUAGCUCUGUUUCUGCAGGAAGCAGGACAGAAAGGACUUGGUUUGAUGCAAGUGAAGGAGAGAGAGCACAGACUUGGAACUCUCAAAACAAGUUUGGACAAGUCACUCAACCUCUCAGCCUCAGACAAAUAACAGGAACAGACAAUUAAAGUAGGAAUAAUACUUGUGACCAUUAUUAGUAGUAGAAGUGUAAGGGCUUUGGGGUCAGAGUCCUUAGGGUCAAAUCAUGGAUUCUACCUCUUGACGGUACCUGACUUCACUCCAAGUCUAAGUUUCUCAUUUGUGAAAUGGGGAACAAUAAUAGUACCUCAAAGGGUUAUUGGGAUGAUUAAAUGAGAUAAUUAGAUCUAAAGCUCUCUGCAGCAAGGGCACACAGUAAGUGCUCUAUAAAGGUCAGCAACGGUCACUUUAAUUAUAAUUGUGCCUCUUCAUGAGCCCUAUAACAUAUAGUCCAGAUUCCCAACUACACACAGUAGGUGUUAAUGGGUAGCUGUGGAAUGAAUAGAUGAAUGAAUGGAUGGACGAAUGAACAAACUCGCCAUCACUUUUGGUCUGGGACUCUUCUUCAUGCCUAAUCCCCUUUGACCUAAAUGCAAUAGAAAUUUUAGCAGCUUCAAGACUUUCAGUCUUCUUGUUUUUUCGUGACUGGAUGAGGCAGUUUAAAAUAUGUCUGCAACUCUGACACUCCCUUCAGAAGGUGGACCCUAAUUCCCCUCCUUGACUAUGAACUGAACUUAGUGCCUUGCUUCUAACAAAUAGAAUAAAGUAGAAGUGACAGUGCGCAACUUUUAAGACCAGAUCAUAAAAAUCAUGGAGGUCUCCCUCUUGGAUCGCUUGCUCUGGGGGAAGACAGCUGCCAUGUCAUAAGCAUGCUCAAGCAGCUCUGCGGAGGGGUACAUGUGAUAAGGAACUGAGGCCUCUUGCCAACAGCCAUGUGAGUGAGCCAUCACGGAAGCAGAUCCCCUGUCCCCAGUUGAGCCUUCAGAUGAUGCAGCCCCAGUCAAAGAUUUGACUGCGUCCUCAUCAGAGACUCUGAGCAAGGACCACCCAUCUGAGCCUCUUCCAAUUUCCUGACCCAGAAAAACCAUGAGAUCAUAAGUGCUGGGGUUUUUUUUAAAAAUAUAUUUAUUUAUUUAUUUGGCUGCAUCGGGUCUUAGUUGCAGCACACAGGAUCUUCAUUGUGGCGUGCUGGAUCUUUAGUUGUGGCGUGUGAACUCUUAGUUGUGGAAUGAGGCAUCUAGUUCCCUGACCAGGGAUCAAACCCGGGCCCCCUGCAUUGGGAGCACAGAGUCUUAGCUACUGGACCACCAGGGAAGUCCCAAUAAGUGCCAUUUUAAGUGGCUAUGUUUGGGGAUAAUUUGUUACAAAGCAACAGAUAAUAAUAUACUUUGUAUGAAUAUUCUUGAUAAAAGUUUGAAACAAAGGCUUUUCUAAUAAUACUUGGCUCAUGGAGACUUCUGACUGUUCAUUCUACAUAGUGUUUUAACACUAUUCAGAAAGCCUGAACCCACACUUUUCUUGUGACAUUACUAUUACUAGACCAUGCCUGUUAACUAAUUAAGGACCCUUCCCUGCCUGGGAUCUCAAGUGGGCUGCAUCCUGACAUCUGUUGUACACCAGCCCUCAGUGGGAUUGGCACCACUGGAUCCCUGGCUGGGAAGGAAGAGUCAGACUCAGGGAUAAGCAGGCUUCUGUCCUGUCAGUAGCUCAUAUUUGAAAGCAUCAUAUUAUCAAUUUCAGGAGGGUCCAUCUCAGAGAGACUAUUUCCUUACUGACAGCUCCCAUGCUGUUUUAACAGCAGCUAAUCCCUUCACCUUAUUUGGAGACAACUUCAGAACCCUUUCCCUGGCUAGCCAAGUCUCGGCACUUGCUGGAGAGAACUGUCAGAGGCCUUUGCAUCUGGGAAGUCUCUGCCUAAUGUGGAAAAGAUCCUGGAAAGAGUGUCUGUGACUGAUCAGGUUGAGGGCUCAGGGCUGAUAAAGACAAGCCAGCUCUUCUUCUCUCACCAUGAGGAUGUUAGCAGUAGAGCUGUCCUGAGGGCAUGGUCAGUGUGGCUAUGGCAGUCAAGUUCAACAGUCUUUUACUGAGCAACUGCUAUGUGCCACUCACUGUAGACAAGACCAGGACACAAAGAUGAGUAGACAAGGUCCUUGCCCUCAAAGAAUUCACGGUCUAGUUGGGAAGACAGGCAAACCAGUGAAUAAUUUCAACUCAGAGCAGUAAGCAGAGGUUGAUCUGCAUACCAGGUGAACUGGGAGCAGGAGAGAGCAAGGAAGGGUUCGCUCCUUGGACAUGGAGAGGUUAGGACAGAUUCAAGGAAUACCAAGGAAGUAUGAUCAGCCAUGAGCCAAGUAGAGGGGAGAAAAUCGUAUGUUAAGGACUCUGAAGGCUAGGGCAAGGAUUCCUCUGACUUCUUGGUCUUAGCUUCUGAGGGCUGGCAGGAUUUAAUUUAUCCCCUUCCAAUCUCUCUUAGAGUCUAACUGGAUCAUUAACCAUGAAAUCAAAUUUGAAAUUUAAAGGAAGAUCUCCUAAAAAGAGGUAAAAGUAAACUUACACCUGGAUUUUAGCAAGGAUCCUGAGACAAGGGUUGAGUGCAGAUUUCUUAUCAAAUCUGGAAUCUGUUUACUUUGACCAUCUGCAUUGCCCUCAUGCUUGGACUGUUGCAGUAGCCACCUAACUCAUCUCCCCAUUUCUACUCCCUAUCCUAAGUCCAGGCCCUCAUGGCAGCUACAGUGAUCCUUUAAAAUUUUCAGGGACUUUUUCAGGGGGCACGGGUUCAAUCUCUGGUCAGGGAACUAAGA